GAUGAACGCUGGCGGCGUGCCUAAUACAUGCAAGUCGAGCGAACGGACGAGAAGCUUGCUUCUCUGAUGUUAGCGGCGGACGGGUGAGUAACACGUGGAUAACCUACCUAUAAGACUGGGAUAACUUCGGGAAACCGGAGCUAAUACCGGACAAUAUUUUGAACCGCAUGGUUCAAAAGUGAAAGACGGUCUUGCUGUCACUUAUAGAUGGAUCCGCGCUGCAUUAGCUAGUUGGUAAGGUAACGGCUUACCAAGGCAACGAUGCAUAGCCGACCUGAGAGGGUGAUCGGCCACACUGGAACUGAGACACGGUCCAGACUCCUACGGGCGGCAGCAGUAGGGACUCUUCCGCAAUGGGCGAAAGCCUGACGGAGCAGCGCCGCGUGAGUGAUGAAGGUCUUCGGAUCGUAAAACUCUGUUAUUAGGGAAGAACGUAUGUGUCAGUAACUGUGCACAUCUUGACGGUACCUAAUCAGAAAGCCACGGCUAACUACGUG
RNAcentral lists this ribosomal RNA (497 nucleotides) under uncultured bacterium. RNAcentral describes it as "partial 16S ribosomal RNA". It matches the Rfam family "Bacterial small subunit ribosomal RNA", at positions 28 to 507 of the family's 1533-position model. The record is from RNAcentral.